GUGCCCAAUCCGGCCGAGGAGCGUUACCAUGGCAACCGUGCCGCGGAGGCCUUGAGAGGCCACACGCCCUAUGUUGGUCUGCGAGAAAUCAAACUUCGAACAGGACAAGCCCGAAGCCCGCUUCUCCGGGAGACGGGGUGCCACAAUUGCAAGGACCCUUGCUCCACAGAAUUCUUUGCCUGGAAUUUUCUUCCCAGAAUCUUUGCAUGUCAUUCCCUCUGUUGCUGAGUUACCGGGAUCUCAAUGUAAACGUUACGUACUGACAGAGGCUGCUGUGAACUGAAUUGCGUGCUUCCCAAAAUUCAUAUGUUGAUACUGUCACCCCCGGUACCUAAGGAUGUGACUACAUUUGGAGAUAGCAUCAUCAAAGAGGAGUUCUGCAAUAAAAUGCCUGCUUUCUCCACCAGAUGGUAUUCACAAAAAUAGCUCACAUUAUGUUUUGCUUGUUUGCAAGUCAACAAGAUGAGGUCACCGAAAAGGUCUAACUGAUUCUGUCUGCUCAGGAAUGUUUCAGGCUUGGUCUCCCUUUUAAUUUACCUCGUAAAUCAUUUUGUAAUUUUUAUCUCCUACCCAUUCUGUAACUUGUUAAUUACUUUUAUACACAUGUAAUAUCUUUUAUGUGUGAUUUCUAAGUAUAUUACUAGUGAACAUUGACUGUUACAAGGCAUACCUUGUCUUAUUGCAAUUUAUUGUGCUUCCCAAGUGUUGGAUUUCUUACAAAUUGAGGGGUUUUGGCAACCUUACCUUCAGUGACUCUGUCAACAAUAUUUUUUCCAACACCAUGUGAUCUGUGUGUGUGUGUGUAUCUUUGUCAGCAUUUUUA
RNAcentral lists this long non-coding RNA (823 nucleotides) under Homo sapiens (human). RNAcentral describes it as "HSALNT0385515". The record is from RNAcentral. Lineage: Eukaryota; Metazoa; Chordata; Mammalia; Primates; Hominidae.